Molecule: long non-coding RNA, 1653 nt
Filed under: Mus musculus (house mouse)
Lineage: Eukaryota; Metazoa; Chordata; Mammalia; Rodentia; Muridae
Description: long non-coding RNA chr4:33374876-33376529
Source: RNAcentral
GGAAAAGAAAUAGAAAAUUAAAAUAUAACUGUCCUGCUUUUUAAAAAUGAUUUUAUUUUAUUUUAUUUCGUUAUUGUGAUAAAAUACCCUAACAAAAGCAAUUUAGGGGGAAAAGUGCUGGUUUACAAUCCCAGGUUACAGACUGAUCUAGCAGGGAAGUCCUGGCGGCAGGAACUCAGACAGCCAGUCCCAUCACAUCCACAGGAAGAAAGAGAAGUGAAUGCCCGUGCAAAGCCCCACCCACGCCCCACCCCUCUUUCAUUCACUCUAGGCUCAGCCCAAGGAUGCUGGUGCCACCUCAGUUAGCCUAAUUCAGAAUAUCACUCAGACAUGUCUAAACAGAUCCUCAUUGAGACAUUCUUUCUAGGCGUCUAGAUUGUAUCUGACAGUUUAAAUUUACUGUUACGGUAGCUUAGGGCAAGUCACUGCUUAUACCACAGCAAAAUUUCUUUGUGGGUUUUCCAACUAAGUAUUUACAAAAUCAUUGAUUUGUUGAAGUGCUUUAAAAAUAACUUGAAUAAUUUAAGUAGAAUUAAAUAGAGUUAGAUUGACAGGAAGAAAUAGCUCAUUAUACCAUUACAUUUAAAUAUUGGUGUUAAAGGUGAGGGGUAUGAGGUCUCUCCCUGUGCCAGGUUUAAGGAAAAAUAGUGGUUAUUGCCAAUGAUACCUUGAGACUUGACAUGAAGCCCUCACUUUUCACAAGUUUCUUGGUAAAUAUUAAAAUUGGUAGAUUUAGUUUUCAUUAUGUAGAUUUAGUGAUUAAUGUUGUUAGGACCAAACAAAUAAAUGUAAAAUGGGUAAUUUUUUUUAGUGGCAAGGAAACAAGAUUUAUAAAUAUGUUUGUAAGCCAAAUUUAAUGAGAGACAAAGAAUCAUUAAUAAAAGCUAUUUGAGAAAAAUAAAUAAAUAUUGGUGUUAAAAUUAAGGUAUUACUUAGGUUGAGGCAUAUAUUAUCAUAGCAUCCCUAAUAUCCAUUACUUGGCUUUUAAUCAUUGGUAGGGAGUCAGGAAAUAUUUGUCUAAGAAUACUGAAUGAAAAAUAUUUUUAUUUAGCUUUAAAAAAUGUUAUUAGUAGUAUGUGUGCAUGAUGCAUAUAUAUGUGCAUGUUUAUUAUAUGUGUGAUACAUGUGUGUUUGUAUGUAUAUUAUGCUUGUGUAUGUAUGAUUGUGUGUGUGUAUGUGUGUGAGUGUAUGUGUUUUUGUGUGUAUGUGUGUGCAUGUAGUGCUGUGCCUAUGGAGGUCAGUGGUCAACUUUAAGGGGUAGAUUCUUGCUUCCCAACUUUACAGGAGUUCUGGGGUUUGUUGUUUCACCCACUGAGCCAUAUCACCAGUCCUAUUUUAGCUGUUCAUCAUCUAGGAAAUUAAAGCUUAAAGGCUUUACAUUAGGCUAUCAUGAUGUCUCACGAGUAGGUUUCACUUACAUACAGCUGUGUAAGAGAGAGGGACAUGCAGUAUAAAACCAUAGAGACAUUUUGCUUAGGAGUAUAAUGAUAGAAAUAAAAUUCUAAAAAUAGCUUUAAAUCGUGCCUUAAAUUUAAGUUAUUAGAAGAAUAUUAUCUGAACUUGAAAACAUUUUUUUGUCUCCUCAUUAACUCUGGUACUUGUUAUGGGUACUGCCUUACUUUCAAAGACUACCCAUGCUUAGUGUGCAUCUUC